UGCCAGACUCCUACGGGAGGCAGCAGUGGGGAAUAUUGCACAAUGGGGGAAACCCUGAUGCAGCGACGCCGCGUGAGCGAUGAAGUAUUUCGGUAUGCAAAGCUCUAUCAGCAGGGAAGAAGAUGACGGUACCUGACUAAGAAGCCCCGGCUAACUACGUGCCAGCAGCCGCGGUAAUACGUAGGGGGCAAGCGUUAUCCGGAUUUACUGGGUGUAAAGGGAGCGUAGACGGCGAUGCAGGCCAGAUGUGAAAGCCCGGGGCUCAACCCCGGGACUGCAUUUGGAACUGUGUGGCUGGAGUGUCGGAGAGGCAGGCGGAAUUCCUAGUGUAGCGGUGAAAUGCGUAGAUAUUAGGAGGAACACCAGUGGCGAAGGCGGCCUGCUGGGCUUUUACUGACGCUGAGGCUCGAAAGUGUGGGGAGCAAACAGGAUUAGAUACCCCCGUACAA
RNAcentral lists this ribosomal RNA (449 nucleotides) under uncultured bacterium. RNAcentral's name for it is "bacterial SSU rRNA". It matches the Rfam family "Bacterial small subunit ribosomal RNA", at positions 329 to 794 of the family's 1533-position model. The record is from RNAcentral.